GCUCAGGGCAAACCCUUCGAAAGACGGGGGCGCAAAGCUACAGGGGCUACAGCGGAUCUGCCGCCAAGCCAGCCAGCUGCCGA
This 83-nucleotide non-coding RNA is filed under the name uncultured Paenibacillus sp. Its description in RNAcentral is "Cyclic di-GMP-I riboswitch". It matches the Rfam family "c-di-GMP-I riboswitch aptamer", at positions 9 to 86 of the family's 87-position model. Rfam says of the family: GEMM was predicted in a large-scale screen for bacterial structured RNA regulatory elements. Genes associated with GEMM are involved in a diverse array of functions, including chemotaxis regulation, signal transduction, secretion and chitin. Lineage: Bacteria; Bacillati; Bacillota; Bacilli; Caryophanales; Paenibacillaceae. The record is from RNAcentral.